GUGGGGAAUCUUGCUCAAUGGGCGAAAGCCUGAAGCAGCGACGCCGCGUGCGGGAUGAAGGCCCUCGGGUUGUAAACCGCUUUCAGCAGGGACGAAAUUGACGGUACCUGCAGAAGAAGGCCCGGCCAACUACGUGCCAGCAGCCGCGGUAAUACGUAGGGGCCUAGCGUUGUCCGGAUUUAUUGGGCGUAAAGAGCUCGUAGGCGGUUUGGUGAGUCGGGUGUGAAAUCUCCACGCUCAACGUGGAGGGGCCACCCGAUACUGCCAUGACUAGAGUCCGGUAGGGGAGUGUGGAAUUCCCGGUGUAGCGGUGAAAUGCGCAGAUAUCGGGAGGAACACCAGUAGCGAAGGCGACACUCUGGGCCGGUACUGACGCUGAGGAGCGAAAGCGUGGGGAGCAAACAGGAUUAGAAACCCCGGUAGUCC
RNAcentral lists this ribosomal RNA (426 nucleotides) under uncultured bacterium. RNAcentral's name for it is "bacterial SSU rRNA". It matches the Rfam family "Bacterial small subunit ribosomal RNA", at positions 354 to 796 of the family's 1533-position model. The record is from RNAcentral.